UAGGCUCGUAGUUUAUAAAGAAUACCUGGUUUCGACCCAGUUGGAGGGGGUGACCCCCCGAGUUUAA
This 67-nucleotide transfer RNA is filed under the name Tegillarca granosa. RNAcentral describes it as "tRNA-Arg". Lineage: Eukaryota; Metazoa; Mollusca; Bivalvia; Arcoida; Arcidae. The record is from RNAcentral.